This 109-nucleotide long non-coding RNA is filed under the name Callithrix jacchus (white-tufted-ear marmoset). Its description in RNAcentral is "lncRNA (ENSCJAG00000085315.1)". Lineage: Eukaryota; Metazoa; Chordata; Mammalia; Primates; Cebidae. The record is from RNAcentral.
GGACACUGCAAGGGAUCAUGGAUCACGAUGGAACCCUAGGAAAUACAGUGAACAGACAAUAAGUAUGGCGACAUCAUGGCAGAGGAAAUGCCUUAACAUUCUUGGUUGC